This 220-nucleotide non-coding RNA is filed under the name Brugia malayi. Lineage: Eukaryota; Metazoa; Nematoda; Chromadorea; Rhabditida; Onchocercidae. The record is from RNAcentral.
AAAGGUACAAGAGAGAGAGAGAGGGAGAGGGAGAGGGAAAGAGAGAGAGAUUUGAUGAAGAAGGGACGCGCGAGUCGCUCUCAAAUAUAAUACAUAUCUAUCCAUCGUUGUCGUCCAACGACCUCAUCAAUAAAAUAGGUCCAUUACUAUCAAUCUAACAUAUGUGAAUGAGUACUCACUCUCUCUCUCUCCCUCCCUCCCUCUUUCCCUUUCUCUCUCU